This 1211-nucleotide long non-coding RNA is filed under the name Athene cunicularia (burrowing owl). Its description in RNAcentral is "lncRNA (ENSACUG00000012737.1)". Lineage: Eukaryota; Metazoa; Chordata; Aves; Strigiformes; Strigidae. The record is from RNAcentral.
CUCUGAGGUGGCCUGUGCCUGGGUGGCAGGGGGAGUGGAAGGAAUUGGACAGAUUCCUAGGACGGUUAUCACCUCCUGUAGCCUGGGAUCUCACCCCUGAACAGGCAAGCAACCCCACAAAAUUGACACAUCAUCUGAUAGAGGGGUGUCUUGCCUAUCCCAAUGAGAACCAGCAACUUCUAGCACUUUACUGGGGCCUGGCCUGUGCUUACCGAGCUGCAGUUCAGCACUCUCAAAGGACUGUGGUUGACAUGGGAACUCAAACAAUAACAACAACAGAGAUUGCCCCAGUAGUAAAAAAGAAACAGUGGACAAGGAGAACAACAGGCCCAUACCCUCGAUUAAUAAGGGAGGAGAAAGAAGAGGAAGAAGCUGGUCCUUCAGCAAAGGGAUCAGAAGAGGGAAUAACAGAGCUGAAACAGGAGGCAGAAACUACCCGGUCCCUGACGUCAUCAGAACUGCGAGAUCUGCGGAAAGACUAUUGCCGCCAGCCGGGUGAGCGGAUCGCUGCCUGGCUGCUGCGAUGCUGGGAUAAUGGGGCAGAUGCUCAGCAACUGGAAGGUAAGGAAGCCCAACAGCUGGGUUCCCUUGCUAGAAAUCGAGGAAUUGAAAGGGGAAUUGGAAAAGAGACAGCAAUUUGCAGUCUGUGGAGACGGCUCCUUUCAAGCGUUAAAGCAAGGUAUCCUUUUAAGGAAGAUCUUAUGGACAACACCCCAGGGAAGUGGACUACUGCAGAUGAAGGUGUCCAGUACCUGAGAGAAUUAGCAGUGAUGGAAGUCAUCUAUGGUAAUCCAGAUAAUGAUGAAGCCCCUAAAAAUCCAGAGGAUGUCCCAUGCACACGGGCCAUGUGGAGGAAGGUGAUUAAAGGUGCGCGAUCCUUGUAUUCUGCCGGCUUGGCCGCGAUGUACUACCCAGAAAUGGAUGCAGGAGAAGGACUAAGAUGUACGCCAACUGUGGAGGCAGUCUCUUCCUGGCUUCAGAACUUUGAAGAGAGUCUUGGUACCUCCUCAUCUCUACGGGCGAGUGCCCUGGAUGUUAGGAGCUCCCCAAGAAAUCAUUUCUCUUCUGUCCCAGUCAGGGGGAAAGGGAAGCCAAGGCGCAUGACACGUGGCAAACUCUGGUUCUUCCUGCGUGACCAGGGGGAGGACAUGAGGAAGUGGGAUGGUCAACCCACCUUUAAGUUGGAAGCACGUGUACAUGAAUUGCGAGGA